GGUAACAGCAACAGAAUCUAACCUACAAAAACAGUUCCGAUUGAUACAGUUAGUUCGUGAAACAAGAUAAAACCAUUUGAAUUGUAAGUAAAUACCUUAACAUGUUAAAACUAGUAUAACUUACAAUGUUUCGUAAAUCAGGGUUUCGAGCUGAUAGCAAAAAAGCAGCGAUUUAAUUUCUUGAUCCCGGUACACCGACGUUACUGUCCGAUAAAAGAAAACUUAAUGUAAGUUUGAAGAAAUUUGUUAUUCAUAAUCGCUUAACUAACAAUAAAAAAUAUCUUUUAGCUUCAAGCUGCUAUACAAGAAAGGCUGCUCUGAGGAUUCGUUUUAAUUAUCCGAACAUUCUUGAAGAUUAACGAAUCUUCGUGGACAAAACCUGGCAAUGUCGGAUCCGGCGAAUGAAACGCUGACGAAUGUCGAAAAAUCGACUGAAAAUCGGAACUGUAUGUACUGCGAGGAGGACGAUAGUGCGGAUAACAUGGUCCAAUGCGACAUGUGCAACUUUUGGAGCCACUAUCGGUGUGCAGGUGUCACUGACGCGGUGAAGAAAUUACCCUGGAACUGCAAGAAGUGCAGUAAUAUGCUGAACGUUCCGAAAAUAAGGAAACCGGUCAAGAAAGUUGUUUCCAAACGGACAGGCAGUGCCAAGAGCGAUGCCGGGUCGGACUCCGGAAGACUACGAGAAGGUCGAGUAUCCCUUCAAGAAUCCCUGAGUCUAUUGGAACAGGAAUCGGCUGCGAUCGAGCAGCAACUGGAGGAGGAACAAGUGUUGCAUGAUAGACGUUUGGCGCUUGAACGUUCUAUCAACGAAAAAAGAAGAGCGCUGCACCAAAGGCAGCAAGCGGAAAAGCUUCGGCAGGAAAAGGAGCAGUUGGAGUUGGAACUAGCGGAUCAUAAGGACUUCCUGAUCCGCCAGAAACAAAUGCGGGAUCAAUUCCAGAAGAUGAAAGCGGAUUUAAGUCGGGAAUUCGAAACGGAGAGCGAAAAUGAGUCGCAAGAUCCGGAUGUUAGUUCGGACAAGACGAAGCGCUGGGUGGAGAAGCAGAACGAUCCCCGUGGAGCUUACUCCAAGGAAGCUGCUGCCGUACCGAAGUUGCUCAAGGCCGGACGCGAGGCGUACAACGAACGGCAUGGUGUUAUAGUUCCAGAGCCAGAGAAAUAUGCUCGCUCGGUAAAACAACAUCAACAGGAACAGUUAGGAGUUUCUUCGAAAACUGAUAUCCGUCCAAAAUGGGAUACGCCGGUGAAAACGACUUCCGAACAACGUUUCAAAUUAUUAUUGGAACAGCGUUUGAAAGAAACCGGGUAUGGAUCCAGGGAGGAACCGGAAAUAAACGAACCGGAGGAUUUAGAGCUGAAGGAGCUGGAAGAGGCUUUCAUUAAGAAGUUGUUGGAGCGCAAAGGUAACUUUGAAUCGAGUGUACCAGCAUGUCACUUGAGUGCUGGACCAACCAAGGAGCAACUGGCUGCGCGUCAAGCUGCAUCGAAGCACCUUCCUACUUUCCGCGGAGAGCCCGAGGUCUGGCCACAGUUCAUAAGCUGCUUCGAAUACACUACAGCGGCUUGUGGAUUCACAAAUGUGGACAAUCUAAAAAGACUCCAGGACAGUCUACAAGGAUUGGCGAAGGAAGCUGUUCAAAGCAGAUUGCUCAUGCCCGAAUCUGUGCCGGAAGUGAUCGAGGAUCUGCGACAACUAUUCGGCAAUCCGGAGAAGCUGCUGAAGUCGCUUGUGACCAAAGUGCGGAAGGUGCCAGCCCCACGAGUGGACAAACUGGAAUCUUUUUUGUAUUUUGGGAUCACUGUCAAACAGUUGUGUGAUCACUUAGUGGCAGCGAAACUGCAGGAUCACCUGAGCAAUCCCAUGCUCGUUUCGGAACUGGUGAACAAGCUACCAUCCGAAUAUCAGCUGGAGUGGAUUCGUUUUAAGAGAGGUAAGAUUGGCCUUCCUCUCUGUAUGUUCGCCGAUUUUAUGAAUGGAAUCGUGUCAGAAGUUUCUGAACUGGCCGAUUUCAAGGGAGAGCAGAAAACCGUGAUGGAUGAAGGGAGAAACCGGUAUAAAAGGAAAGAGCGAGUGAAUGCUCACGAUGUUAAAGUGUUCCCGCCUUCGCAGAAUACUACACCCGUGAAAUCCAGAAGACCUUGCCCGAUGUGCAAUCGCACGGACCACAAAUUGCGGUUCUGUGACGACUUCGCCUCAAUCUCGUUGUUUGAUCGUCGAAAGCUGGUUGACAGGCUGAAGUUGUGCAACCUUUGCCUGAGUGACCAUGGUAAAAUAAAAUGUACUUUCAAGGUCCGGUGCGAGAUACGAAGCUGCAGAGGAGCACACCAUACGCUGUUACACUGCAAUGAAGAAGCCGUCAACGUCACCGUCGCUGAGUGUAAUCCACAUCAUAAGAGAGAUCGGUCAGUAAUCUUUCGAAUGAUACCGAUUACUCUGUACCAUGGGGGAAAUGCAGUCGAAACGUUGGCGUUCCUGGACGAGGGAGCUUCAACAACACUCGUUGAGAGCUCAUUAGCUGAUUCGUUGGGCGUCAAGGGUAUUCCGGAACCCCUGGUCAUCCUGUGGACAGGAAAUGUCAAGCGAACCGAAGAAAAUUCAGUAAAAAUCGACCUACUGAUAUCCUCGGUAGAUUCUCGACGGAAAUUCAUGCUGUCAUCCGCCCAUACCGUGGGAGAACUGAAGCUGCCAUUGCAGAAGGCGAGUUACGGAAACAUCGUAGAAAAGUAUCGACACUUAAGCGGAGUCCCUUUGUCGAGCACCAAGAUGGAGGUUCCCAGAGUUCUCAUCGGUCUUGAUAACCUACACUUAUUCGCCCCUCUGGAGUCCAAGGUUGGUGCCCCGGGAGAACCGAUUGCCGUGCGCUCAGCGCUGGGUUGGGCAAUCUACGGUCCCGACUUGAGAUCGGAACAGCGACAUAGCUACUUCAAUCACCAUCUGGUUCAGAGUUUGAAUAAUCGGGAGCUUCACGAUCUGAUGGCGGAGCAGUACGCUCAGGAGGAAUUGCCUUCACCGUUUGGUCAGUCUAUGGAAUCAGAGGAAAUACGCAGAGCCCGGGACAUCCUAGAAUCGACCACCGUCCGUGUAGGCGACCGCUUCGAAACGGGACUCAUCUGGAAACAGGAACCCGCCUUUCCUGACAGCUAUCCAAUGGCGUUGAAUAGACUGAGGAGUCUUGAGCGACGGUUCAACCGAGAGCCACAUCUGCAACGGAAUGUAAACCAACAGAUCGAAUACUACCUUACCAAAGGCUACUGCCACAAGGCCACGAAAGAGGAACUGUUGAAUACCAAUCCUUCUUCCGUGUGGUAUCUUCCUCUAAACGUAGUACUCAAUCCGAAGAAACCACAUAAGAUACGCUUGGUGUGGGAUGCAGCGGCCAAAUCCCAAGGAGUUGCCCUCAAUUCAUUCCUUCUCAAAGGCCCCGACCUACUGGCAUCACUUCCGGCAGUCAUCAGCAAAUUUCGAGAGCGUCGAGUUGCCGUGGGAGGUGACAUAAAAGAAAUGUACCAUCAGCUCAGGAUAAGAGAUGCAGAUAAGCAAGCGCAAAGGUUUUUGUUCCGUUUUCCGAAAGAUGAUCAUCCAACUGUGUUCGUCAUGGAUGUGGCCACCUUCGGCGCUGCCAGUUCUCCGUGCUCGGCGCAAUACAUCAAGAACCUGAACGCCCAGCAGUUCUCUACAAGUUAUCCAGCAGCAGCAGCAGCCAUAGUUCACCGUCAUUACGUCGACGAUUACUAUGACAGUUUCGACACCGAAGAGGAAGCUAUCACGCGGGCCAAAGAGGUACGUUUUAUUCACUCGAAAGGUGGAUUCGAAAUCACAAACUGGACAUCUAAUUCCACUGAAGUUCUUCGAAGCCUGGGUAUUGACGGUGGCUCCAGAGAGUCCAUCCAUUUGAACCGAGAUAAAGCAACACACUAUGAACGGGUUCUCGGCAUCAUGUGGGAUACACAGAACGAUGAGUUCUCUUUUGCAGUACCUACAAACGUAGCUGCUACUGAUGCAGCACCACCGAAGAAGCGUGAAGUCCUAAGCACGGUCAUGUCUUUGUUUGAUCCGAUAGGACUGUUGGCUCCUUUUACAGUGCUUGGAAAGAUGCUCAUGCAGGACCUGUGGCGAGCGGGUUGCGAAUGGGACCAGCAAAUCGGCGGAGAGUGUUUAGAAAAGUGGCGACAGUGGGUCGCAAUGUUUUCUCGGGUCGAGGGUGUUCGGAUUCCAAGAUGUAACUUUGGGUCGACACCUUCUGACCAAUUUGGCCAAAUUCAGCUCCACAUCUUUACAGACGCUGGGGAAAAUGCCUUUGGAUGCGUCGCGUAUCUGAGGAUUUGCGUAGAGGAAAACGUAAAAUGUUCGUUGGUGCUGGCUCGAUCGAAAGUGGCACCGAUUAAACAACUUUCCAUUCCACGGCUUGAAUUGAAGGCAGCAGUCUUGGGAGCGAACCUGAGUCUCGCUGUCAGGAACAAUCAUUCCCUUCCUAUAGGCCAAACUUACUUCUGGAGCGAUUCUCAAACCGUUCUCUCCUGGAUUCAAUCUGAUCAACGUCGUUAUCAACCCUUCGUCGGCUUUAGAAUCGGAGAAAUUCUGAGUCUCUCCAAGUUGACGGACUGGCGUUACGUUCCGACCAAACUGAAUGUAGCAGAUUCGCUCACCAAAUGGGGUCGUCUUCCAAAUCUUUCGAGCGAUGGUUCUUGGUUUCGUGGCCCGGAGUUCCUGUACCAGCAUCCGUCGAAAUGGCCUCAGCAAAAUCUUCCCGCAGCAAAUACAAGAACAGAAAUCAAAGCAAUACAUCUUUUCCAUGGUGUUGAGCUUCCGAGUUGCUUUAUCGACGUGACCAGAUUUUCGAAAUGGAAUGUUGUAGUUCGCACAGUGGCGUGCAUUUUUCGAUUCAUCUCCAACUGUCGGCGCAGAGUUGCUGGCAAACCCAUCGAAGCUGUCCUGUCAAUUCCAAAGCUCAAAAGGCUAAUCAAGGUUUACGUUCCGUUUGUAGUUGUUCCGUUGCGGCAAGACGAGCAUCGAUGUGCAGAAAAUGCUCUAUUCAGGUUGGCUCAAAGCGAUUCGUACAGCGACGAAAUCAAGACACUGCAGAAGAAUGCAGAGCUACCUUUCCAAAACUGGUUUCCACUAGAAAAGUCCAGCCCUCUCUACAAGCUAGUGCCCUUGAUCGACGCCCAUGGUGUGUUAAGGAUGGAAGGUCGCUCUGAAAAGGCGGAGUUCCUCCCCUUCGAUCUUCGAUUCCCGAUUAUUCUACCAAGAUCCCACUGUAUCACGGAUCUUUUGGUUCAACAAUACCACGAGAGGUUUGGACACGGAUAUCGAGAAACGGUGAAGAACGAAAUCAAGCAACGUUUUGUGAUAAGCGGUCUCACCAACUUGAUAAAACGAGCCGAGAGAAGCUGUGUGUGGUGUAAAGUCCGAAAAUGUCUGCCGAAGAAUCCCAAAAUGGCUGCACUACCCGUCCAAAGAUUAACCCCCUUCAAACGUCCAUUUACUUUCGUUGGUCUUGACUAUAUGGGUCCAGUUGAAGUCGUCGUUGGUCGCCGCCGAGAAAAACGCUGGGUCGUGGUGUUCACGUGCAUGGUUGUCAGGGCGGUACAUUUAGAAGUUGCCCAUAGUCUUACCGCACAAUCAUGCAUAAUGGCGAUCCGUCGUUUCAUUAGCCGCCGAGGUCCCGCCUCGGAAUACUUCUCGGACAACGGGACGAACUUGCGAGGAGCGAGUAAGGAGAUAGUCCAACAAGUACGGGAAAUUGAUAAUGUUUGCGCCGACGAAUUUACGACUGCUAUCACGAGUUGGCACUUCAUCCCACCAGGAACACCCCACAUGGGAGGGGCGUGGGAGAGGAUGGUGCGCUCGGUGAAGCAGGUCAUGACAGCCUUAGACGACGGACGUCGACUGAACGAUGAAAUUCUCCUAACUACGCUAGCUGAAACUGAGGACAUGAUCAACAGCCGGCCCCUUACUCUUGUAUCUACGGAUCCAGUGGUAGGUGCACUUUGUCCCAAUGUAUUCCUGCGUGGUUCAGAUCCUAACGAGCCGCAUGAAGUCAUCAAACCUACCAACCCUGCAGAGGCCCUUCGGGAUGCUUACAAGCGAUCGCAGCAGCUGGCUGACGACUUAUGGAAACGGUGGAUAAAAGAAUACGUGCCGACAGUCAACCAGCGAUCCAAGUGGUUCUCUGAAGCAGAUCCUCUUAAGAAAGGAGAUCUCGUGUACGUGGUAGAUGGAAAUCGACGUAAGGCAUGGGUACGAGGAAUCAUCGAGCAGCCGAUCAUAUCCGGUGACGGACGUGUACGGCAGGCAUUGGUGCGCACAUCGGGUGGUGUUUUCCGACGCGGAACGACUAAUCUAGCAGUGCUAGAGAUCGAUGGUAGUACGGAAGGUGUUCAAAAUGUGGGUCCAGAGAGUGCCGCUCACCAUGCAACUUUUAAAAUUAGCGGUAACUCUGAUCCGGUGGCUCCAGAGAGUGGUUCCGGACCAGGUUUACGGGUGGGGGACUGUUGAGCGUGUAACUGCGCGACUCGGCAGCCAUGUCGGAAAGUGAGACGGAGACCGGUGAUUGGUGAUGGGGAGUAGGAUAAACAAAAAUAAAAGAAACAAACUAAAAUUUGGCUCGUCAUUGCGUGCUUAGUGCAGGAGUGAUUUGUAAAAUUAUCUUAUUAAGCUAAAAUAGUACGGUUAGUGCUGAGUAGUACGGAUUAACAUUUACUGGAGGACGUUGUACAUUUAAAAACCGUAAGUGAAAGACAUUUGCUAAAAUACUUAUUACUAAAAUUGUAUUUGACCUCACAUAGGUAACAGCAACAGAAUCUAACCUACAAAAACAGUUCCGAUUGAUACAGUUAGUUCGUGAAACAAGAUAAAACCAUUUGAAUUGGUUUCGAGCUGAUAGCAAAAAAGCAGCGAUUUAAUUUCUUGAUCCCGGUACACCGACGUUACUGUCCGAUAAAAGAAAACUUAAUCUUCAAGCUGCUAUACAAGAAAGGCUGCUCUGAGGAUUCGUUUUAAUUAUCCGA
Molecule: RNA transcript, 7014 nt
Organism: Uranotaenia lowii
Lineage: Eukaryota; Metazoa; Arthropoda; Insecta; Diptera; Culicidae
Exons: 3
Source: RefSeq, a predicted model, not a curated record